RNAcentral lists this ribosomal RNA (756 nucleotides) under uncultured bacterium. Its description in RNAcentral is "bacterial SSU rRNA". It matches the Rfam family "Bacterial small subunit ribosomal RNA", at positions 8 to 796 of the family's 1533-position model. The record is from RNAcentral.
AGAGUUUGAUCAUGGCUCAGAAUCAACGCUGGCGGCGCGCUUAACACAUGCAAGUCGCACGAGAAAGUGGAGCAAUCCAUGAGUACAGUGGCGUACGGGUGAGUAACACGUGGAUCAUCUACCUCUUGGUGGGGAAUAACCCUGGGAAACCGGGGCUAAUACCGCAUAAGCCUGCAAAGGGAAAGCAGCAAUGCGCCGAGAGAGGAGUCCGCGGCCGAUUAGCUGGUUGGUAGGGUAAUGGCCUACCAAGGCAAUGAUCGGUAGCCGGCCUGAGAGGGCACACGGCCACACUGGCACUGAAACACGGGCCAGACUCCUACGGGAGGCAGCAGUGGGGAAUCUUGCACAAUGGGGGAAACCCUGAUGCAGCGACGCCGCGUGAGCGAUGAAGCCCUUCGGGGUGUAAAGCUCUUUCGGCAGGAACGAUAAUGACGGUACCUGCAGAAGAAGCUGCGGCUAACUACGUGCCAGCAGCCGCGGUAAUACGUAGGCAGCAAGCGUUGUUCGGAAUUACUGGGCGUAAAGAGUGUGUAGGCGGUUCUCUAAGUUCCGUGUGAAAUCUCCCGGCUUAACUGGGAGGGUGCGCGGAAGACUGGAGGGCUGGAGUAUGGGAGAGGAAAGCGGAAUUCCUGGUGUAGCGGUGAAAUGCGUAGAUAUCAGGAGGAACACCUGCGGUGUAGACAGCUUUCUGGACCAUCACUGACGCUGAGACACGAAAGCGUGGGUAGCAAACAGGAUUAGAUACCCUAGUAGUCC